Molecule: ribosomal RNA, 468 nt
Filed under: uncultured bacterium
Lineage: Bacteria
Description: partial 16S ribosomal RNA
Rfam family: Bacterial small subunit ribosomal RNA
Source: RNAcentral
GACGAACGCUGGCGGCGUGCUUAACACAUGCAAGUCGAACGGAAAGGCCCUGCUUUUGUGGGGUGCUCGAGUGGCGAACGGGUGAGUAACACGUGAGUAACCUGCCCUUGACUUUGGGAUAACUUCAGGAAACUGGGGCUAAUACCGGAUAGGAGCUCCUGCUGCAUGGUGGGGGUUGGAAAGUUUCGGCGGUUGGGGAUGGACUCGCGGCUUAUCAGCUUGUUGGUGGGGUAGUGGCUUACCAAGGCUUUGACGGGUAGCCGGCCUGAGAGGGUGACCGGCCACAUUGGGACUGAGAUACGGCGCAGACGCCUACGGGAGGCAGCAGUGGGGAAUAUUGCGCAAUGGGCGGAAGCCUGAUGCAGCAACGCCGCGUGCGGGAUGACGGCCUUCGGGUUGUAAACCGCUUUCGCCUGUGACGAAGCGUGAGUGACGGUAAUGGGUAAAGAAGCACCGGCUAACUACGUG